Molecule: transfer RNA, 80 nt
Filed under: Mycobacterium shottsii
Lineage: Bacteria; Bacillati; Actinomycetota; Actinomycetes; Mycobacteriales; Mycobacteriaceae
Description: tRNA-Thr
Source: RNAcentral
GUCGUGGUGGGUCGCCGCGGCCAGGGCGGGGUGGCUAGUGCCCUGCUGGGGUCGGUCAGUUCUGGGCUGGCCCACCACGC